This 319-nucleotide ribosomal RNA is filed under the name uncultured eukaryote. RNAcentral describes it as "partial 18S ribosomal RNA". It matches the Rfam family "Eukaryotic small subunit ribosomal RNA", at positions 1470 to 1796 of the family's 1831-position model. The record is from RNAcentral.
CCCUUAGAUGUUCUGGGCCGCACGCGCGCUACAAUGGUCUUCGCAAACGGAUGCAUUCUCGAAGGAGAAUGCCAAUCUUGGAAUCUAUGCCUUGGUCGGGACAGUUGCUUGCAAUUUUUCGACUCGAACCAGGAAUUCCUUGUAAUCGUGAUUCAUCACAUCACGAUGAAUACGUCCCUGCCCUUUGUACACACCGCCCGUCGCUCCUACCGAUCGAAGAGGUAGGUGAAUUGUUUUGAUCGAUAAGAUUUGACUAUGGUCAACUCUCGUUGUGAAAUUCUGUGAAUCUGACUGUUUAGAGGAAGGAAAAGUCGUAACA